AGAGUUUGAUCAUGGCUCAGGAUGAACGCUAGCUACAGGCUUAACACAUGCAAGUCGAGGGGCAGCAUGUUGGUUGCUUGCAACCAACGAUGGCGACCGGCGCACGGGUGAGUAACGCGUAUCCAACCUACCCUUGUCCAUCGGAUAACCCGUCGAAAGGCGGCCUAACACGAUAUGCGGUUCACAGCAGGCAUCUAACGUGAACGAAAUGUGAAGGAGAAGGAUGGGGAUGCGUCUGAUUAGCUUGUUGGCGGGUAACGGCCACCAAGGCUACGAUCAGUAGGGGUUCUGGAGAGGAAGGUCCCCAGACUUGGAACUGAGACACGGUCCAAACUCCUACGGGAGCA
RNAcentral lists this ribosomal RNA (347 nucleotides) under uncultured bacterium. RNAcentral describes it as "bacterial SSU rRNA". It matches the Rfam family "Bacterial small subunit ribosomal RNA", at positions 8 to 349 of the family's 1533-position model. The record is from RNAcentral.